UAAUUUUUAAUUUUUUCUUUUUUUUUCCGAUCUACAACUCACAUAUAACCACACACAAUAAUCAACAGGCAUCAAUAAGGCAUCAACAUGACUAGCAAAAUCAUAGUACAUAUCAACUAAGAAUUUAUAUCAUAUUUGAGAGUAAAAAUAUUAUCAAUCGAUCGCCUCAAUAGGUUUUGUCCAAAUCCUUUUUUACCACGAGAAAAAACACCAAUUACAUAGUAUAGAAA
RNAcentral lists this long non-coding RNA (230 nucleotides) under Lathyrus oleraceus (garden pea). Its description in RNAcentral is "Pisum sativum (pea) long non-coding RNA (PSAT_LNC020992)". The record is from RNAcentral. Lineage: Eukaryota; Viridiplantae; Streptophyta; Magnoliopsida; Fabales; Fabaceae.